UCAAAUUUGUAAUCUGGCGUCCUUCGGGCGUCCGAGUUGUAAUCUAUAGAAGUGUUUUCCGUGCCGGACCAUGUCCAAGUCCCUUGGAACAGGGUAUCAAAGAGGGUGACAAUCCCGUACUUGACAUGACCACCGGUGCUCUGUGAUACACUUUCUACGAGUCGAGUUGUUUGGGAAUGCAGCUCAAAAUGGGUGGUAAAUUCCAUCUAAAGCUAAAUAUUGGCGAGAGACCGAUAGCGAACAAGUACCGUGAGGGAAAGAUGAAAAGCACUUUGGAAAGAGAGUUAAACAGUACGUGAAAUUGUUGAAAGGGAAACGAUUGAAGUCAGUCGUGUUCUUUGGACUCAGCCGGUUCUUCCGGUCUAUUUCCUUUGAACGGGUCAACAUCAGUUUUGUCCGGUGGAUAAAGGCAGGAAGAAAGUGGCUCCCUCGGGAGUGUUAUAGCUUUCUGUCACAUACACUGGAGGAGACUGAGGACUGCAGCUCGCCUUUUGGCCGGGGUUCGCCCACGUUCGAGCUUAGGAUGUUGACAU
RNAcentral lists this ribosomal RNA (533 nucleotides) under Vanrija musci. RNAcentral describes it as "eukaryotic LSU rRNA". It matches the Rfam family "Eukaryotic large subunit ribosomal RNA", at positions 109 to 632 of the family's 3401-position model. Lineage: Eukaryota; Fungi; Basidiomycota; Tremellomycetes; Trichosporonales; Trichosporonaceae. The record is from RNAcentral.